This 463-nucleotide ribosomal RNA is filed under the name Vreelandella stevensii. RNAcentral describes it as "partial 16S ribosomal RNA". It matches the Rfam family "Bacterial small subunit ribosomal RNA", at positions 338 to 794 of the family's 1533-position model. The record is from RNAcentral. Lineage: Bacteria; Pseudomonadati; Pseudomonadota; Gammaproteobacteria; Oceanospirillales; Halomonadaceae.
CCUACGGGGGGCUGCAGUGGGGAAUAUUGGACAAUGGGCGAAAGCCUGAUCCAGCCAUGCCGCGUGUGUGAAGAAGGCCUUCGGGUUGUAAAGCACUUUCAGUGGGGAAGAAAGCCUUGGGGCUAAUACCCUCGAGGAAGGACAUCACCCACAGAAGAAGCACCGGCUAACUCCGUGCCAGCAGCCGCGGUAAUACGGAGGGUGCGAGCGUUAAUCGGAAUUACUGGGCGUAAAGCGCGCGUAGGCGGUCUGAUAAGCCGGUUGUGAAAGCCCCGGGCUCAACCUGGGAACGGCAUCCGGAACUGUCAGGCUAGAGUGCAGGAGAGGAAGGUAGAAUUCCCGGUGUAACGGUGAAAUGCGUAGAGAUCGGGAGGAAUACCAGUGGCGAAGGCGGCCUUCUGGACUGACACUGACGCUGAGGUGCGAAAGCGUGGGUAGCAAACAGGAUUAGAUACCCCGUAGU